This 493-nucleotide ribosomal RNA is filed under the name uncultured bacterium. Its description in RNAcentral is "partial 16S ribosomal RNA". It matches the Rfam family "Bacterial small subunit ribosomal RNA", at positions 29 to 507 of the family's 1533-position model. The record is from RNAcentral.
ACGAACGCUGGCGGCGUGCUUCACACCUGCAAGUCGAACGGUGAAGCGCCUUCCUUUUUGGUGGGUGUGGAUGAGUGGCGAACGGGUGAGUAACACGUGAGUAACCUGCCCCCUUCUUCUGGAUAACCGCAUGAAAGUGUGGCUAAUACGGGAUAUUCUGGGUCUGUCGCAUGAUGGGUCUGGGAAAGAUAUUGUUUCGGUGGGGGAUGGGCUCGCGGCCUAUCAGCUUGUUGGUGGGGUGAUGGCCUACCAAGGCGGUGACGGGUAGCCGGCCUGAGAGGGUGGACGGUCACACUGGGACUGAGACACGGCCCAGACUCCUACGGGAGGCAGCAGUGGGGAAUAUUGCACAAUGGGCGCAAGCCUGAUGCAGCGACGCCGCGUGAGGGAUGGAGGCCUUCGGGUUGUGAACCUCUUUCGCCAGUGAAGCAGGCCUGCCUCGUUUGUGGGUGGGUUGACGGUAGCUGGAGAAGAAGCGCCGGCUAACUACGUG